GCCUAUGGCCAUGCCACCCCAAACAAGCCCAAUCCCUUCUGAUCUCGGAAUCUAAGCAGUGUCGGACCUGGUAGUACUUGGAUGAGAGACCACCUAGGAAGACCAGGUGCUGUAAGCA
Molecule: ribosomal RNA, 118 nt
Filed under: Pteropus alecto (black flying fox)
Lineage: Eukaryota; Metazoa; Chordata; Mammalia; Chiroptera; Pteropodidae
Source: RNAcentral